This 449-nucleotide long non-coding RNA is filed under the name Homo sapiens (human). RNAcentral's name for it is "long non-coding RNA NONHSAT056455.2". Lineage: Eukaryota; Metazoa; Chordata; Mammalia; Primates; Hominidae. The record is from RNAcentral.
GGAAGAGGACGGACCUAAGAUGGCGGCCUCCAGGGGGCUGGGAAUAGCCGCUCAUGUCGGCUAACGGAGCGGUGUGGGGCCGCGUGCGAAGCCGCCUCCGCGCCUUCCCCGAGCGGCUGGCCGCCUGCGGGGCCGAGGCCAAGAAGACGCUGGAGGGAGGCUGUUAGGAGGGACUCUGAGCUUCACACCUGUCUGCUGCCAUGGGUGCAGAGCCCUAGUCCUGAUGGCCCCUGGUGGCACAUAUCGAAUGCCUAGGGCAGAAAGGAAGUGGGAAUGGCGAAGAUGUGACAUUCCUCGGUGUUAGAUCCUGUUUUUUCUUAACAAGUUGAGGCGUGGGUAGAGCAGGAAUUGGUUUUCCAGCAUUGUGUCCGUAAACCUGAGUUAGAAUAAGAUGUAACGGAAGCCACGAUAAAGACUCGGUCAAAUCCUGCAGCCUGGGGCUUACUGUG